This 333-nucleotide unclassified non-coding RNA is filed under the name Hevea brasiliensis (rubber tree). Lineage: Eukaryota; Viridiplantae; Streptophyta; Magnoliopsida; Malpighiales; Euphorbiaceae. The record is from RNAcentral.
AAACAGAGAACCAUGUGGACGGCAUCACGGAUACCGCAAUCAUAUUUUCUGGGAACUAAUAAGAGUCUCUAUUGAUGUCCAAGCAUAGACAUUUGGCUAGGGGAAACAAUAAACCAAAAUAUGAAAAGACACAUUCAGUUCUAUAUUUUCAAGAUACCGACUCGCAGAGUACUUUCGUUUUGCUUCAAAAUCUGCGAGAUGGGAAAAGGUAUACGGAGAAUUAUGAGAUCAAUCUAAACCCAUCUUUAUUACUCUGAAUACAUCUGGCUCAUACAAAUGAACCAUCAACCAAAUAUGAAAUACGAAAACUGAAACUGCCUCUACAAAAUAGUU